RNAcentral lists this ribosomal RNA (440 nucleotides) under Theileria mutans. Its description in RNAcentral is "bacterial SSU rRNA". It matches the Rfam family "Eukaryotic small subunit ribosomal RNA", at positions 452 to 932 of the family's 1831-position model. The record is from RNAcentral. Lineage: Eukaryota; Apicomplexa; Aconoidasida; Piroplasmida; Theileriidae.
UGACAUGACGCAGGGAGGUAGUGACAAGACAUUACGAUCGGGGGACUCACGCCUUGUAAUUGGUAUGAUGGGAACCUAAACCCCUUCCAGAGUAUCAAUUGGAGGGCAAGUCUGGUGCCAGCAGCCGCGGUAAUUCCAGCUCCAAUAGCGUAUAUUAAAAUUGUUGCAGUUAAAAAGCUCGUAGUUGAAUUUCUGCCGCAUCGCGUCGGCCCUCCCGGGCCCAGCGUUGCGUUUUAUUUCAGACUCGCUUGCGUCUCCGAAUGUUUACUUUGAGAAAAUAAGAGUGCUCAAAGCAGGCCCUUGCCUUGAAUACUUUAGCAUGGAAUAAUAAAGUAGGACUUUGGUUCUAUUUUGUUGGUUUAGCGCCAAAGUAAUGGUUAAUAGGAACAGUUGGGGGCAUUCGUAUUUAACUGUUAGAGGUGAAAUUCUUAGAUCUUAGA